AAUUAACCCUCAUAAAUCAUAUAUAAAAUUUUAAGAAUUAUUUUACAGAAGUUUUUAUAAACUCAAUCUCACCUCAUAAAUACUAAGGCCUAAAGUUAAAUGUUAAUCUAUUUUUGAUUGCAGUCUAUUUAAAAGAAAAAAAAUCCAAUUUAUCGUAUUUCGAUCAAAUUCUCUAAAUCUUUUACUAUUUAUGUUUUCUUUGAUUAUUUACUUUGCCAAAUAAACUAAAGCUGAAAGGCCAAUCUUAUACAAUAAAGUAGGGUAUGCUCUCUCAUCCUUCCUCCACGUACUCAAGGAGAGUGGAGCUUUUGCCGACACGUGUCAGCACACCAGGCUACUUGCGAAAUUAUUUUUUCUCCAGCCGGAUCUCUUAAUUCACUUAUUUGAACUGGGCUUUUUUAAUUAUUUCUGUUAACAAGAGUCCAAAGUGGACCUCUUAAGUUUAUUAAUGUACUUGGCCCAGACACACCCUUCUCCUUCUCCGCCGGUCUUCAUUUUAUCAGAUCCGUAGAUUAGCAACGACGAUCUCCUUGCUCUUCUGUAACGUUUUCUUCUUCAUUCAAUCCUGAUCAUAACGUAUUGCUAUUA
Molecule: long non-coding RNA, 588 nt
Filed under: Brassica napus (rape)
Lineage: Eukaryota; Viridiplantae; Streptophyta; Magnoliopsida; Brassicales; Brassicaceae
Description: long non-coding RNA (BNAP_LNC022763)
Source: RNAcentral